GUACUGAUGAAGAAUCCUAAACUAGGGCGAAACAGCUGUCCAGUAC
This 46-nucleotide non-coding RNA is filed under the name Trichobilharzia regenti. Lineage: Eukaryota; Metazoa; Platyhelminthes; Trematoda; Strigeidida; Schistosomatidae. The record is from RNAcentral.